Molecule: ribosomal RNA, 436 nt
Filed under: uncultured bacterium
Lineage: Bacteria
Description: partial 16S ribosomal RNA
Rfam family: Bacterial small subunit ribosomal RNA
Source: RNAcentral
AACGAACGCUGGCGGCAUGCCUAACACAUGCAAGUCGAACGAUGGUCUUCGGAUCAUAGUGGCGCACGGGUGCGUAACGCGGGGGAAUCUGCCCUUGGGUUCGGAAUAACAGUUGGAAACGACUGCUAAUACCGGAUGAUGUCGAUAAGACCAAAGAUUUAUCGCCCGAGGAUGAGCCCGCGUCGGAUUAGCUAGUUGGUGGGGUAAAGGCCUACCAAGGCGACGAUCCGUAGCUGGUCUGAGAGGAUGAUCAGCCACACUGGGACUGAGACACGGCCCAGACUCCUACGGGAGGCAGCAGUGGGGAAUAUUGGACAAUGGGCGCAAGCCUGAUCCAGCAAUGCCGCGUGAGUGAUGAAGGCCUUAGGGUUGUAAAGCUCUUUUACCCGGGAAGAUAAUGACUGUACCGGGAGAAUAAGCCCCGGCUAACUCCGUG